UUGCCAGGUCUGUUGAAGGAA
This 21-nucleotide microRNA is filed under the name Picea abies (Norway spruce). Its description in RNAcentral is "pab-miR11567". The record is from miRBase by way of RNAcentral. Lineage: Eukaryota; Viridiplantae; Streptophyta; Pinopsida; Pinales; Pinaceae.